Molecule: non-coding RNA, 75 nt
Organism: Myotis davidii
Lineage: Eukaryota; Metazoa; Chordata; Mammalia; Chiroptera; Vespertilionidae
Source: Rfam
GGCAGUUCUCAGGUGGUGCACCCCGAAACCAGGCUCCCUCCUCUCUGGUUCUGGGUGCAUCACCCAAGAACUGCA